UCCCUGCCCCCUACUUUUGCGAUCGUUGUUUUGGUUGUUGGCAUGCGUGGUUACGCGUCUGCGGUGUCCUUUAAGUGGAUCCUCAGCCAUCCGUAAUCGAUUUUCGGAUUGGACGAUCCAUCGAUCGUUGAUUUCGUUUUCGGAUUGGAUGAUCUGUUUCCGAUAGGUGGUGCAUCCAAAUCCUCAGCCAUCCCUUAAUCGUUGAUUUCGUUUUCGGAUUGGAUAAUCUGUUUCCGAUAGGUGGUGCAUCCAAAUCCUCAGCCAUCCCUUAAUCGUUGAUUUCGUUUACGAAUUGGAUGUUCUGUUCUCGGCACUUGGAACUGAUCUACUUUCCAUGCGGGGUGUAUCAAAAGCCUUUUGUUCAUGUGGCUUUCGUUUUCGGGGACUUGGACAUUGGUCUUGAACGAAUCGGGUGAUCUAUUUUCAAUCGCUGCGGAUCGGAAGCGUUUGAUAUCUGUUGUUUUCGUUUUCUGAACGAAUUGGAUGAUCUAUUUUUUUCCCAUAGGAAUAUUGAGAGGCUAGGAGUUCCGAUUAUUGGAAUCCGACUAGUGGAUUAUUCAUUAACCGCUCUUUUUUUUUUCUUGCGAUCUAUCAGAGGGCUUCACAAUUUUGCCGGAUUAAGGCUAUUUGCGACAGAUUUUAUAUGUACUUUCGAAGCGGUAGGUGAGGCUGUGGUGUUUAUGUGGGUAUUAUCUUAAUGGAACCCUCGCGGAGUCUGUGAGGCAAUUUGUGAAGGUUGCUCUGGUAUGCGUUGCACGAUUAAAUAUUUUUUCCAUUAGAUAGUGUUCUAUUUAAGGGGUUUCCUUACUGUAAUGAACGCUGCUUAUUAUCAUGGAUGCAGGUUUUCCGAAAUGAUCUAAACAAGGGAUGUGUCUUUUUUGUUCUGGUUUAGUUGGCCUUCGUUACUUUCAACUUUUAUUUGUUGCAUUUAUGUCCACCAGUUGGUUAUGUUUGUUUGUUUUUAUUUUUUGUGUGCAAGGGAAAGCUUCUGGAUAUGAUAUUUGAAAGAGAGAUGUAUGUGUUUUGGUACCAUGCUAUGAUAUUUGGUUUGAGAUAUACGCUAACGGUAUCAGCAUCAAUGCUGUGUCUUUUGGAUACUCUAGUUGGAUUUAGACGAGUAUCAGGGAAGAGUUCCAUCAACUUCUCAUUUUUUGAGGUUGCCUGUUAAAUUGUUGAUUAUUUUUCCUGUCCUCCUUCUGUCAGCAUUUUAUAUAUAUUGAAGUUAAAUCUAUCUCUUUGUUUUCUGAAUGUUCUAUUCCUAAUGUUUUUGUAGGCAGUUGCCUAAGCAUCAUCGUUAGGCAUGAUUCUAUUAAAUAGAGAUGGUAACUCACCUUUGUUGGAUUGUUUUUGGUAUGAGACCUAGGAUUUUACAUUUUUGAUAAGGCUAGUUUCUGUGGCAGAUUCUAUAUGUGUCAUCAAAGCUGUUGGUGGGGCUCUGGUGUUUUUGUGGUUAUUAUCUGUAUGGAGCCACACGUAGCUGUGAUGCAGUUUGUAAAGGAUGCUCCAAUUAAGGAUGCUCUGGUUUUUGUUGAAUGAUUUAAAUAGGUUUUCCAUUAGAUAGUGUUAUAUUUAAGGGGUUUAAUUGUUGUGACAUACCUUAUUAUGAUGGAUCCAGGGCUUCUGAAAUUAUCUGAACAGUGGAUAUGUCCGGUUUGUGCUGGUUUAGUCAGCCCUUGUUACUUUCAAACAUUAAUUGUUGCCCUUGCGUGCACAAGUUGGUCAUUUGAUACGGUUCUCAUCAAAGUAUGGUUGUUUGUUUUUAUUUGUUGUCUGCUAGGGGAAGCUGAUGGACAUCUAGUUUUGCAUGGGCAUGGGACAUUUUUUUGAAAGUGAGAUUUGCAGAAGCAUCAGUAUCAGCAUUAGCCAUAAGCCUGGUUUUAGGAUUAUGACCUUUCUUGAAUAGAAUUUUUGGAUUUAAAUUGGGUAUAUGGAAGGUUAUUUUGUUUGCCUAUUUGGUUUAUUACAUCCAGUUGUAUUCUUGGCUGCUCUUUCCAGAUGAAAUUUGGAUUUUCUGUCCUGGUUUUCUACAAUUAGUUAUGACGUUUGGUAGCAGGAUUUUAUUUUGGAGUUAAUACAUUUCUAAAUUGGGUUAAUUACAUCCUUUGGUGUUCUUGGCUGGUUGUAUUAGAGGAAGUCAGAUAAUUUUGUUGAAUAACUUGAAUUCUGUGGUCAUUGUUUCCAUUGGCGUCAUUGCUGUUCAUUUAUUGCCAAAAUGCGGUCCAACAGUGCAAAGUUGUUACAUUUGAAAGGUGAUGUGAACAAUGUAGUUCGAACAUCUACGGAAAGCCUAGCAUGAUUAAACAGAAAUUCAUGGGAAAGACUUUAUUGGCUUUAACUGGUUUUCCCAGGAUUAACAUUAGAUUGAAAAGCUUGGAACUGACAUUUGAAUUGAUCCACUAGUACCUGUUGCUAUUGCCCAUGAUGUUUGCAGUUUUGGUUCGAUUUUGUUCUUUUCCUGUGUGUACAUGUUUAUAUGGUUCAAAGAACUCUGGAAGGUUGUGUUUGGUUGAAAGGGGGCGGUGCAUUUGGAUUGAGAUUAGCAAAUUGAAAAGAUUGGAAGAUGACUUUUGAUUGAGAUGGGCAUUGAGAAGGUUGGAAAAUGAUUCUUUAGUUGAUUCGCAAGUCUCAGUAGCUAUUACCGGUGAUGUUCUGCAAUUUAUGGAUGGAUUUUGUUUUAUUUUCCUGUGCCUACAUAUUUGUAUGUUCCACUGAACUUUGGAAGUUCUGUUUUUGGUUGAAAACAUGGUGCAAUGGGAUGUUGUAUCUAUUAUGCAAAUUGGUUGUACCAAAAAUUAUUGUGGACUAGUACUCAGAUUUUGUCAUAAGUUAUCAGAUCAAGGUUUUUGA
This is a long non-coding RNA of Musa acuminata AAA Group (dessert banana), 2847 nucleotides long. RefSeq lists it as uncharacterized. The record is from RefSeq and is a predicted model, not a curated record. NCBI's taxonomy places the organism in Eukaryota, Viridiplantae, Streptophyta, Magnoliopsida, Zingiberales, Musaceae. The transcript is spliced from 4 exons.